CAGGGCCCUCAGCCCGAGCAGUUGCCUGUUGAGAUGUCUGCCUGUCCCUUCUAGGGCUUCCUGAACUCCUCUCUGGAUCCCAGCCGCAAGGCCACCCCCCCCACCAACUUCCCACACGGCGCUGGGGGUGGGGGUGGGGCCUGCGCCAGAAGAUCACCGCAAAAGCUUGGCAAGAAGUGUUCUUAGUUCUCCUGAUUGGAGGCGUUGCCUGCUGCCCGGCCCUCCGCCCUCACCUGCGGAUUAGGCCCCGCCUGCCUGCGGCGUCCCCAGGUGAGUCAAGCGGCAGCUCCGGCCCACCCACCUGUCCAGGUUCUGCCCGCCCCAGCCGGAAGCUUCCUCCUUGGACUGUGCACAGUUCCUGCAGGUGCUUUCCCAGCCUGGAUACUCCUCCGCAGUACUCCUCUGAUUCAGGUGCUCCACCUGCACAUUAUCUCCAGUCCUAGGCGUCCCUCUGACAGGGGCUUGCAGAGCCGGACCCCACGGUGUUCCCUUACAAAUAGCCAAUUUCCAGGACUCUGGCCUCCAGGGCUGCCUGGC
Molecule: long non-coding RNA, 537 nt
Organism: Mirounga angustirostris (Northern elephant seal)
Lineage: Eukaryota; Metazoa; Chordata; Mammalia; Carnivora; Phocidae
Exons: 4
Source: RefSeq, a predicted model, not a curated record